GUGGGUGCAGCUGAGUGAAGACCCGGGAGGGGGGCCGGGGGGCUCGCCCGGCUCUGUCGUCUGCCUCCAACAACGCCCGUUCUGCACGGAGCCCCACGGCUCGACUCGCUCGCCGACGCCGCUGGCGUGAGCGUCCGGCCCCCUCGAAGGUCAUUUGACCAAAUUUGACACCAGCCUAGAAAACCUUUCUAGCCACAAAAUUGCACUUCGGGGAAACCAGCUCAAAGGAAUAAUCUGAAAGUCACACAGCAGACAGCGAGGAACCCCUCCAAGCUGCACUUCCGCUCCAACUUACGCGCUGCCCGGCUCCAAGAUGGCCGCGUGACGCACGACGUAACGCGGAGGCCCCGCCCCUCGCGACGGCUGCUCCUCUUCACGCCCCGCCCCUUCCGGCUUUGACACGGAAGUGGCCUCCCAAGGCGGAAGUGAGCUGGCGAAGCGCGGCGGGCAAUUGAAACGUUGGAGGAUGGCGGGGUUGAGGCUGCAGGCCGUCGGGGGCUCGCCCAGGUACAAAGAGCUCAUCCGCUCCAUGAAGGCAGUGAGGUGUGAAGACACCGUCGGGAGAGAAAGGAGCCAGUUUCUCUAACACCUGUUGCCAUCCUCAAGCUGUCACAACAAAUCCCAACAACAGGGUGCCGGGCACGUGCCCUGCCCCCUCCAGGCAUGAGCGCUCCGGGACAAGGUCCCCUCCUACCUGCGCGAGUGCGGGACCUCGCCAGUGCCGCCGACACGCUGGUGGUGCCCCUGAGCAGCCUGGCCCGCUGUACCCGCGCCUGCCACUCCCAGCAGCUCCUGAAGAUGUUCUGGACAGGUGGUGUCCCCGUGGGGAACGACCACCUUGGUGCUGACCGGUGGGCGGUCGGCGUAGGUGAGGCGCUGCUGGGGCCUGCUCUGGUUCCAGGACCCAUGUCUGCACAGAGGGGAGCUCAGGCCCCCUGUCCCGCAGGUGCCCGCAUGAAGCACCACGUCCUCGCCAGGCAGGCCCUGCGGAUGCUCCAUGAGGACCCGUCCCCAUGCACAGACAAGUGCUGGUGCCUGGCCCAUCCUCCACAUGCCACUCCCGCGUUGCUGGGCAGAUUGCGGCUCAGAAGGCCAGUGGGGGGCCCUGAAGGCCAUGGCCGCCGCUGAGCACCCGUGUCACAAGCACAUGUGAGGGCUCCCUGUGCACCACCUGGGGCGGUAGCCCUGUCCUGGAGCAGAGCAGCCUCCUGACCUCACAGGCCCCGCAGGUGCCCCCACCCUCCCUCCAGACGCUAAAGCUCUCCACUUGCCCAGGCAGGCCGUCUGGACACCAUGCUGCUCUCAGGGGCACCAGGGCCUGCAUGGGCUCUCCUCGUCUUCUCCAGAGCCUGUCCCAGCGCCCACCCUGCUCUCCACUGCAUUUGGCGGGACUUGCCUGGUAGCCGCCCCACCCUCUGGAGCCUGGUGGAGCACCCUGCCCCCGCCACCCCUCCCAGACCCCCACCCAUACAGCAUCAGGUGCACUGGCCACCUGCCCCAUCCUGUGACCGCCCGCUCCCCACACGUGGCCCCAUGGCCCCUGCUCGUCUCUGACACGUGCACUUCGUUGCAGAUGCUGCUGCAUGUGGCUAACGGCAUCCCGCAGGAGCUGAGGGCGCACAUGCUACCCUCCCUGCCCUCCAGCUUCUUCCACGGCGAGGAAAACUGGGUGCUGAAGCUGUUUCUAGAAGGCCUCUUGCACAAAACCGCCAUCCUCCUGGAUGUGGUGGGCAUGAUUAUGCAGGACCCAAGCAACCGACCAGGAGCCCGCCCUGCGUGAGUCCUGAUGCUCUCGGCCGCCAGCCGCGCAGUCACAGCGUGAGGCCACUCCUUGGCCCAGCUCCUGGUUCAGGCGACAGUCCUGGCCCCAGCAGGCAGGUCUGCGCCGGUCUCCUCUGAUAAAGCAGCAGAGAGCAAGCUGCUCCCAGAACCAGCAGACAGCUGGCCAUGCCUGCCCUGGCCGGCAUUGCUCCACCUCAUCAGAGGACGGUGUGUGCAGUCAGCUGCAAAGCCCAGAAUGCAAGGGGCCCUCCCUGCUCACAGACCCCCACCAGCGCCGCCUGGCUCUCAGAGGGGAUUCUCAGCAGUCACUGCCCAGAGCUGGGUGCCACUCCAUGUCAGGAGGAGGCUGGGAGCCCGGGUAGGGCCCUGCCUUUGCAUCUAUGGGCCGGAUGCCGGGGCCACGGCAUGCUGGGCAAGGAGACUCGGUCCCCGCCACAAGCAUCCGUCCCCCUCGCCACCCUUAAGGUGCAUAUGCCUUUAAAGAUGCAAACCAGUAGACUCAGUGGCGACACACCGGGCCCUCUGAGUGGCACAGGCCUUAUCAGGAGGGGACCCCGCAUAGCCUGUGGACACAGUGAGACCAGAGCCAGCCACGUGCUGGAAUGUUUCAUGCUUGUGCAGGUGGUAGGCCCUGGGCCCUGACUACAUGAGUGAGCUGCUGUGCCUGUCCCUGAGCUUCGAGGGUCCAGAAACGCAGCCCUUCAGCCUCUUCCUGUCCCACGUGGUGGCAGAAACCUGAGUGGUGUCCCUGGGCAAAGUCGCUCAACCUUCAUUGUCUCUAAAACCUUCAGGAGGCCGCACCUCGGCCACAAACCACCUGUAGCUGAGCAGAUUCGUGUCUGUCGUUUCCCUGGGAAGACACUGGAAUGCCCAGGUCGGCCGGCCAGGGGAGCGGCAUCCGGACUCCCCAAGACAGCCGGCCCUCGGGAGGUGCUGGGGCUGCCUCCUGGGGAAGAGACAGGCAGGGCUGGCGGUGCCCCGCCUGCCAGCGUGUGUUCAUGGGUUCAUGUGACCUCAGGUGCGGCUGGAGCCCCGACAGCUGUCAGGAUGCACCACGUUAACCAAGGCCGGUUCCCCAAGACCAGGGCCGUCCGCCCACGACACCCCUGGAGUCAUUCUUUGUGUUUUUGCACACAUGAGUCUAAGAGCCUAAAUUAUUUUUGGAAAUCAUUUUCAAACUUUCAAAGAUUAUGUAAAAGCUAUCUGGUUUUUUGAGCAAUGUUUAACUGAGUGAAGUAAAAAGUUUCUUUGGUAUUUUUUCAGUGCCCAUGUUCACCUCUGCUGGUUUUGAUUCCAGGGAUGGGGAACAAGUCGGCACCUGCGAGGCAGCGGUCAGCUGGAGGACAAGCUGUCUGCCUCCCUCACGAGCAUCCUCCUCCCACCGUGGAUCCAGACCUGCCAGGUCCCCCUGGGGCGGGCUCCAGUGCAGGGGGCCUGGAUUGGCACGUGUUGGGGUCCACAAGUCCACCCUCCCAGGAAGGUGAGAAACAGGACCUGCCGGGUCCCCUGACACUCACCAAGGACUGGGGAUGCCUGACACGAGCAGGCAUACGUCAGCUCAGCCACCGUGUGGGGUCAUGGCCUCCGUCACACAAGCCUGCCUAGGUCAGCACAAGGACCGGUUCUGAAUCCCAAGGGCAGCGGGCGUGACUGGCACCCAGACUGGAAACAGCACAGCAUGCCAGGAGGGCAGGCCUGGCUCCAGCUGUCCUGGCGGCACCAUGGCACCCAGGUGUAUUCAAGCACAAGACGCAGCCCCACAUGUGGACUGAUUGCCGCUGUGACCACAAUGGACUUCCUGAUCCCACAGUGAGAGCUGGAACAGCUCCCGAAAUCCGGGUCCAAGCAGACCAUGGAGGGCCAUGCCGGCCGGGCCACACCAGAGCUUCUCCCAGGGGCUUUCGGGUCACUGUUGGGCUGGAACCUGGUCCUGGGCACCCAGCUCUGCCCGUGCCCUCAAGGGGAAGGCAUGACUGGUAAGGGGGCCUGGCUGGUCUGGGUCUCAGUCCAAACCUUGAGCAAGUCCUGGGGGCCGAUGCAACACCCUGUCCUGAGCACCCAGCCCAUGUGAGCAGAGCCCCAGGCAGCCUGGGUGACAGGCACGCACCUAGGGUAGGCAGGAACAGGCGCAGCAAGGCCAGCUCUGCUGACCAUCUGCCCUGAGGUGGACGCCAGUGCCCUUGGCUCUAAGCCCCCCACCCCCAUAAAUCUGUAAUAAAAAUAAUCCUGAGUCUCCCUAAUGUGCCCC
RNAcentral lists this long non-coding RNA (4030 nucleotides) under Equus caballus (horse). Its description in RNAcentral is "lncRNA (ENSECAG00000052689.1)". Lineage: Eukaryota; Metazoa; Chordata; Mammalia; Perissodactyla; Equidae. The record is from RNAcentral.